GCCUGGAUAGCUCAUGUGGUGAGAAUGUGGUGCGGAUAACGCCAAGGUUGCAGGUUCGAUCCCCGUAUGGGACA
Molecule: non-coding RNA, 74 nt
Organism: Podarcis lilfordi (Lilford's wall lizard)
Lineage: Eukaryota; Metazoa; Chordata; Lepidosauria; Squamata; Lacertidae
Source: the annotation of a GenBank genome assembly